This 252-nucleotide ribosomal RNA is filed under the name uncultured bacterium. Its description in RNAcentral is "partial 16S ribosomal RNA". It matches the Rfam family "Bacterial small subunit ribosomal RNA", at positions 524 to 776 of the family's 1533-position model. The record is from RNAcentral.
UACGGAGGAUGCGAGCGUUAUCCGGAUUUAUUGGGUUUAAAGGGUGCGUAGGCGGAUUUUUAAGUCAGCGGUAAAAUGUCCGGGCUCAACCCGGGCCGGCCGUUGAAACUGGGGAUCUUGAGUGGGCGAGAAGUAUGCGGAAUGCGUAGUGUAGCGGUGAAAUGCAUAGAUAUCACGCAGAACUCCGAUUGCGAAGGCAGCAUACCGGCGCCCGACUGACGCUGAGGCACGAAAGCGUGGGGAUCGAACAGG